RNAcentral lists this long non-coding RNA (31049 nucleotides) under Lactuca sativa (garden lettuce). Its description in RNAcentral is "long non-coding RNA (LSAT_LNC004088)". The stretch from base 3046 to 3190 matches the Rfam family "Bacterial large subunit ribosomal RNA", at positions 2309 to 2452 of the family's 2925-position model. Lineage: Eukaryota; Viridiplantae; Streptophyta; Magnoliopsida; Asterales; Asteraceae. The record is from RNAcentral.
AAAUGCAAACCCUAGCUACUGUAAACCCUAUUUAAUCCCCUAUAACUCUCAUACAUUCAGCAUCAAAAGUAUUCAAUCUCGAUUGGUUUAUUUCGGCGAUCAACACACACUAAAAUCAAUGCCUAUGCCUCUUCAAGGUAAGAUCGAGAUGAUUCUGCUAAUCAAUUAGAUUCUAUGUCGUUAAUUUCAAACAUGUUUUCUCAAAUUCUAUCGAUCUGUUUAUCUAUUUUGGAACAUACAAAUUUGCAUUUGUUUUACCCUCUCUUUGGGAUUAAAAUCGAGAUUAUUCAAGGAGAUAUAACUGAUGCAUAUAGCUAAUUACAGGAUGGCUUACCAACGCAUUGCAUUUCAUUGGAUUGCUUUAGUGUCAAAUGGUCCUUCCUAUAUUCUUUCUCAUUUCAUAAAACUUUUCCUUGUUCUUGACAUUUUUGUUUAUUGGAUUUGGAAACUUUGAAUUGGCAAAUGAUGUAAUUUCAGUUUUAUGCUUAACACACUGAUUAACCCAUGGUGACUAAAAACUCCGCUUAUUAUCUGAUGCCAAAAUCUUUUCGUAAUUCACUUCUAAAGUAAAUUAAUUUCACGAUUGUAUCACGGUUUUUAGCUGUUUUUGUUGGAUUUGGAAGGCAAAUGAUGCGACACAUCAAUCUUAUACUACACACUGAAUAUUUUCAUGUAGAAAACAACUCUCAAUUAUCUUCUGAUGCUUUCCAUGUUUAUAAACAAAUGAUUUUGGUUUUGAAAAAGUACUAAUUUUUUUGUAAUUUUAUCAUUCAAUUUACAUUGAAUGAAUAAUUUCGAUGAUGUGAUUCAGCAGACGGGCGGUCUGAAAUGAUGCCAUGUUGAUUGUCUGCAUAAUAUCCUCAACGAGGAUUCGAAUUCUGAGAUUUUUAAUGUAAGUCGAUUGUAGACUUUAUUUGAUUCUUUUUUCGUGUUCAAUUUUAAUGAUUUUUAAAUUUUCAUGAGCUGCUGUGAUGAAUAUGCAAUUUUUAUAUGUCUGGACUUAUGAGACACUGUCUUUGAAAUGAUGCGCAUACUUUCUGAGCUUCAAAUGAUCAAUUUAAUAACAAAAUCGUAUUUUUAUAAAAUUGAAAGUAAUUAAAUCUUGAUUUGGAUGUUUAAAUGAAGGGCUGCUGUGAUUAUAAACAAAAAGAUUUAAUAUCUGAAUGCUAUUUCGAUGGCAUGAUAGACUCUUUUACACCCAUAGAAUAUGAGCACCCAUAUCGUAAACUUGUUAUAUAUUACUACUAUAUUAAUUUUUUACAAUUUGGCCACUUUUUAUGUCACUUGUUCAAUUUCAAAACAUUUAAAUAACUUUGGAUGGGAUUUGUAAAUGUUGCAGUGAUUAUAAAAAAUUCCUCGUUCUGAAUGCCAUAUCUAUGGCAUGACAGACAAAUUUACAAUAGAAUAUGAGCAACGUCUUUUGAAUGAGUUUUAAUUUUUAAUCAUUUAUAUUUAUAUGUAAGAUAGUUGUGUUGUUUAAUUAGAGAUUUUUAAAGGAAAUGAUAAAUAAGAAAGGACAGUAGUUUUAUACAGUAUUACUGCCCUUGUUGUCAAUUCCAAAAGCCUAUUGUAAUAAGGUGGUGUUUAAAGCUCUUGUUUUCAGUUUUUACAAUUCAGAGUUACGCACACCUCCAAAUUUUAAAUUUUAAAAACUACAGCUCCCCAAAUAGCAAAAAUUCUUUGAAGACAACAGAACCUCAAAUAGCAAUUGACUUCCUACAAAUCUUAGCUCUGGAUUUAACAUAGCAAAGUGAAUUAAACAAUUCUUGUUUGAUAGAGAUAGAGAUUAAUCUUCUUUUAAAGUUAAGACUGGUUUUAUUUAAGACUGGUUGUGAGUCACUAAAGAAUUGUGUAUGCUUAAAUCUUCGACUAAGAACCCAAAUAGAAACUGAUUUAAAGAACAAUUGGGAAAUCCAUAAUUCAAGAAAGAGCAAGAAGGAAAUUGGUAAUUCAAGAACUCCUUUGAACCAUAUGAUUUCAUGCCAUUACACUGAAAACAUAUGAUUUCAAGAACAAAAACAAUGAAUUCGCAAACAAAAAAUCAUGAAAGCCACAAAUCAAAACUAGAACAUAUGAAAUUGAGGUCAUAUAUCCAAAACAAAACAUUCAAACCCGUGAAUAUCAAUAUGAAAAGAAGUUAUACAUCUUUUAAGGUAAUAUCGCCAGCAAUCCUUUGAUAAGCAGACCUGAGGGAGGAAGAAGAUGAACUUAUUGAAGAUGAAGAAAACUCAAACCUAGAAAAUGAAGAUGAAUGAUUUCAAACUGUCAUUGUAAUUCUUUGGAACACCGCCGGAUGUUGUUUCCCCUCCCCCAAUUUAACUUGUAUUUUCCUUGGCAUCUUGAAUUGACGGUCUCUCUCUCCAUGAUUGCUCCAUCACAAUGAAUUUCUUUAUGGUGAUGGAAUGGAAGUGAAUUGUGUUUUACCCGGUUUAAGAGUAUUUUGUUGUAGCAUCAACAAAUGACACUCCAUUUAGACAUUGAUUAUGUUGCGAGUCUGAUGACUAGUCCUUAACUUAGGAAUGUGAAUUAAUUGAAGAUAUGAACGCAGUAGAUGGUGUUUAUGGUGAUAGAAUGAAAGUGAAUAGAGUAAGGUGAUGUAAUUGGGUUGUGUAAUUGGGUUGUGUUAUUGGAACGCCUAAGAACUGCCCCUCUUUUACUGUUAUUGGAUGUCAUACGCUAUUGAGUUGUGUCCCGUUACGACUGCCAUAUUUGUUUAACGUUGUUUUUUCUUCUUUCACUAAAAACGCCGGUGUGGUUGUUGCUCACACCGACCAGCCUAACCCUGUAGGUAACAUAAAAUUUUUAUAGGAAACAUCAACAAAUGACACUCCAUGUAGGCAUUGAUUAGGCUAAGAGUGUGAUGGCUAGUCCUUUUCUUAAAAGGAAUGAAUAAAUCGAAGAUAAGAAAAGAGUACAUGGUGUGUAUGGUGAUAGAAAGGAAGUGAAUAAAGUAAUUGCGUUGGACUAUUGUUUUUUUACCCUGUUUAAGAGUCUUUUGUAAGUAACAUCAGCAAAAUUUUUGUAGGUAACAUAAACUAAUUAAUAUAUACAGGUUUCCUUGGGCUGGACGGAGAUUGGCCCUCGAGUGCAAAGGCAGAAGGGAGCUUGACUGCAAGACCCACCCGUCGAGCAGGGACGAAAGUCGGUCUUAGUGAUUCCUAUGGUGCCGAGUGGAAGGGUCGUCGCUCAACGGAUAAAAAUUAAUCUAGGGAUAACAGACUGAUAUUCCCCAAGAGCUCACAUCGACGGGAAUGUUUGGCACCUCGAUGUCUCCCGGAACUUAUUUGAAGUGGCUCCCUUCCAUGCCUCAUUUCAUAGGGAACCCCAAAGUGGCUCUAUUUCAUUAUAUUUCAUCCAUAUCCCAAUUUUAUUCAUUUAAUAUCCUUUUAGUGUCAUUAACAUAUAAUAGAUGUCAUUUCUAGUUUAUAUGAUUAUCAAUCAAGUAAAAAGUUAUUCUAUGUACAAAUUCUUACAUCUCUUACUACUGGUGGGGUGACAACUAGUUUUGGUAUGUUGGGGGAUAUCAUCAUUGCCGAACCCAAUGCCUACAUUGCCUUUGCGGGUAAAAGAGUAACUGAACAAACAUUGAAUAAAAUAGUACCCGAGGGUUCACAAGCGGCCGAGUAUUUAUUCCAGAAAGGCUUAUUGAAUAAUUUUUAUGUCUAUUACAUCUGCACCCCCUGGGAGCGAUAAGCCUUUUGGACCUUAUUGACCAAAGAGAUACGACUUUGCACUAUAGUUAGUUCAGCACCAAUCAAGAAUGCCCAAAGAAUUCAAGAAUUCUUGUUAUAGAUUUGUUCCAACCCUCAAUCCUAAAAAAUCGCAAUGAAAAGCGUCCAUUGUCUAAUGGAUAGGACAUAGGUCUUCUAAACAUUUGGUAUAGGUUCCGAAAGACUAGAGUGGCUGAAGCGGAUUAAUAUGGAAUUAUUACCACACACUUAUUUUGAAUUUCGUUUGAUUAGGGCAAAGUUCCUUAAAAACCGCUGCCUUUUUUAAAAUAUCAUAAACAGUUCCUGUAGGCUAAGCGCCAUUUUCAAAGAAAUAGAGAAUAUCGGGAACAUUUAAAUAAGGGUCUGUUUGAUUUGGGUCUGACCGGGUCUGGUCAGACAAAAAUGGAUGACUCAGUCAGAUUAAUGUGGAUCAGUGUGUUUGAUAUGUGCAAUAAAAACAUGAGACUCGGUCAGCACCCUCUGACUCGGUCCUAUUUGUUUUCUUUACAAUUUUGCCCUUUGCAUUACAGACCCAUAACAUUCCGGCAUCACAAACCAGUCAUAUACAUGCCCUGUUCACGGACACAAGAACCAGGAAACCUACCACAAACACUGCAACCCUUGUUCAUUUGUUUAACCCCAACCAAAAAAUUGCGUCUUCGUGAGAGAGAAGGAGAAGGAAGCACACUUUUACCUAUUGAUUGAGUCUAAGAGGAGUGAAAAUUGUGAUUGAUCGAAUAAAACAAGGAUAAGAAGAGGGUGUGGGUAUUUUGGUAAUAAUGUUGGAUUCCACCAUUGUCAUCCUUGGAUGAAGCUUCAAACAUUUGUUCAUUGUGGUUGCCUGGUUGUUCUUCCCACUGGAAGGAAUGCUCCAUCAUCUCGUCCACCGGAUCCCAAGUCCACUCCGAGCCCUUCCGAUGUUGCCAUUGCACCUUCACUAGCUCCACCCUCUUGUUUCUCAGAUCCUUCGACUUCCGGUCGAGGAUCGCUACUGGCCGCUCAAUAUAAUUCAUGAUGUCAUCGACUUGAAUAUCCUCUAAGGGUACCACUGCUGAGUCGUCCACCAGACACUUCUGCAACUGGGAGACGUGGAAGGUGUUGUGGAUCUGGCUGAGUUCGGCUGGCAGAUCUAGCCUAUACGCCACCUUGCCCACUCUGGCUAAGACCCUGAAUGGUCCAAUGUACCUGGGGCCCAAGUUGCCCCGUUUCCUGAAUCUGAUGACGCUCUUCCAUGGNUCUUCCAUGGCGACACCUUUAGGAGAACCAUAUCCCCGACCUGGAACUCCAAGUCCGAUCGGCGCUUAUCGGCAUAACUUUUCUGCCGACUCUGAGCAGUCUGAAGCCUGAUCCGGACUUGCUGAAUCCUCUUUGUCGUCUUGAACACUACAUCGGUGCUCCUCAUAACCCUCUAGCCAACCUCGCCCCAACAUAUCGGGGUCCUGCCCUUCUUCCCGUACAACAUCUCGAAGGGAAGACGAUCAAUACUCGCAUGAUAACUAUUGUUGUACGAGAAUUCAGCCAACGGAAUGUAAGUAUCCCAACUACCUCCGAAGUCUAAGACACACGCCCACAACAUAUCCUCCAAAGUAUGGAUGGUUCGCUCACUCUGACCAUCUGUCUGCGGGUGGAAGGCGGUGCUAAAAUGCAGACGAGUACCCAGCUCGUCAUGAAACUUCUUCCAAAACCUGGAAGUGAACCGAACAUCUCUGUCUGAAGUCACCGACACUGGCACCCCGUGCCGCGCAACCACCUUCUUGAUGUAGAUAUCAGCCAGCUUCUCGGCCGAGAUGCUCUCCUGAAUCGGAAUAAAAUGAGCGCUCUUAGUCAGUCGAUCGAUGACGAACCAAAUCUAAUCCACACCUCGCGCGGUCCUGGGAAGUUUUGUGAUAAAAUCCAUCGUAAUGUCCUCCCAUUUCCACAGCGGAAUAUCUAACAACUGCAUCUUGCCGUGUGUCCUCUGGUGCUCGGCCUUGACCUUCCUGCAGGUCAAGCACUGCUCCACGUACCAUGCUAUAUCCCGCUUCAUUCAGGGCCACCAAUAGUCCAGGCGAAGAUCCCUAUACAUCUUCGUGGCCCCAGGAUGAAUGGAGAAUCGAGAUUUGUGCGCCUCUUCCAUCAGAACCUGGCGCACACCCCCGUGGUAUGGCACCUACACCCUACGGUGUAGUGUUAGUAAUUGCCGGUUGUCNNNNNNNNNNNNNNNNNNNNNNNNNNNNNNNNNNNNNNNNNNNNNNNNNNNNNNNNNNNNNNNNNNNNNNNNNNNNNNNNNNNUGAUCGGCGCUGCCUUGCGGCUAAGCACGUCGGCCACCACAUUGGCCUUUCCCGGGUGGUAGAGGAUCUCACAGUCAUAAUCUUUUACCACAUCAAGCCACCGACGCUGCCUCAUAUUCAGAUUUGGUUGGUCCAUGAAAUACCUCAGGCUCUUGUGGUCCGUGUAAAUCGUACAACGGACCCCAUAGAGGUAAUGACGCCAAAACUUGAGGGCGAACACAACAACCCCAACUCCAAAUCAUGCGUCGGGUAGUUCGCCUCGUGAGGCUUCAGCUGCCUCGAAUCUAGGAGUGUUCAUUUGGAUGGAUCGGUUUAAUCCGAUCCGAUCAAGUGAAUCCAAAUUAAUUUCGGUUUUCAAAACGUAGAUCCAAAUAGUCCAAACUAAAUUCAAAUCCGAUCCGAUCCAACCAAAGUAUAAUUCGGUUGGAUCGGUUUUUUACAUUUCGGUUUUCAAGAAUCAAGACAUUUCAAAAAAUAUAUAACUUUAGUAUUAACUUACUCUAUAAUAUAAACUAAAAAAUAUUGUUUAAUUAGUUGUGAACUAAAACUUAUAAAUAACUAUCAAGAAAAAUAUAUUAUAGUUACUACUUUAUAGACAAAUUUUUUUAAUAAGAAGUACAUAUUAAAGUAUUAUAAUUGAUGAAAAAUUUUAAUGUAUUAAAAGAAUAAUUUAGUAAAUUUAUAAUUUAUUAAAGAUAUAUAUUAAAAAGAACAAAAUAAUAAAUUGUAAUUCAGUUUUUUUGGACUAUUCGGUUUUUAUUUUAUAAACCAAAACCAAUCCAAAAUAAUAAUUCGGUUUUGCUAAAAACCAAUCCAAAAAUCCGAAUAUCCGAACCAAAUUGUCCAAUUGGACAAUUCGGUUUUAUCCAAAUAGUGAACAGUCCUACUCGAAACAUAAGAAAUGACAUGCCCUCUCUACAUCAAUACUGCGCCCAAACCCAAGAUGGACACAUCACAGUACACGACGAAAUCUUCCAUGCCCUCUGGCAGGGUUAAGAUUGGCGUCUCGCACAAUCUCUGCCUCAAUGUUUCGAAUGCAGCCUGCUGCUCAGGCCCCCAACGAAAGACCAUGACUUUCCUCGUUAGCCUGUUCAGGGGUACGACUAUCCUGGAGAUAUCCUGAAUGAAUCUCCGAUAGUAGCCGGCUAAUCCUAGGAAACUCUGAAUCUCAGAUGGAGACCUCGGAACCUCCCAUCUCAUCACGACCUCCACUUUGGCCGGAUCUACCGAAAUCCCGUUCUGGUUGACAAGGUGCCCAAGAAACUACACCUCGCGUAACCAGAACUCACACUUGGAGAACUUAACAUACAAGUUCUCCCUUCUCAAGGUCUCCAGAACCUCUCGUAGAUGCUCCUCCUGUGUCUUGGAAUAGACCAAGAUGUCAUCGAUGAAAACUAUCACAGACUGAUCUAGCAUCGGCCUGCACACAUGGUUCAUGAGAUCCAUAAACGCGGCAGGAGCAUUGGUGAUCCUGAAAGGCAUCACCACAAACUCAUAGUGACCAUAACGGGUCCGAAAGGCAGUCUUCUACACAUCCUCCUCUUUGACCCUCAUUUGGUGAUACCCUUAACGCAAAUCAAUCUUGGAGAACCAAGAUGCUCCCUGUAGCUGGUCAAAGAGGUCAUUGAUCCUCGGGAGUGGGUAGUAGUUCUUCACCGUCACCUUAUGCAGCUCCCGAUAAUCUAUGCACAUCCGUUGCGACUCGUCCUUCUUCUUCACAAAUAAAAUCGGGGCUCCCUAGGGUGAACUGCUCGGUCUAAUGAAUCCUUUGUCUAACAGCUCCUGCUGCUGUGUAGACAACUCCUGCAUCUCAGGAGGAGCCAACCGAUACGGUGCCUUGGCUAUCGGACCCGCACCAGGGACUAGGUCGAUCCUGAACUACACCUGUCGCUCCGGAGGUAUCCCAGACAACUCCUCGUGGAAUACGUCCACAAAUUCCCGCACUACGGGCAUGUCUCCCACCGUCGCCCUACCCGCCUCCUGGGUAUCCAUAACGUAGGCGACAUAACCUGCACAACCCUGCUAGAGGUAGCGCCCCGCCCUCGCCGCCGAACAUAGAGAUGGUCCUCGAUGUGGCCUUUCGCCCUGAACCACCAUCUCUCCCCCACUAGGGGUCCUAAUCCGUACUGAUUGUUGCGUGUAGUCGAUCACUGCCUCAUUGGAGCUCAGCCAAUCCAUACCAAUAAUAACCUUGUUCCCCCGCAAAGGUAUGGGAACCAAGUCUACCAGGUAACGUUCAGCCUCAAAACACAAUCUCGGUAGACCUCUGACGCUCGUACCGACCGGUCGUCCGCAAUCUCGACCUCUAGAGGGCAAUCCAACAUGCCCGAAGACUCCGGAAACUUCUUGUUAAGCUCAAGAGAGACAAAUGAUUGAGUGGCACCCGAAUCAAACAACACCUGAACUAGGAUACCAUUCACAUGGAACGAUCCUAAGCAAGGCACAUAAUAUAUCAAAAUCACAACGAUAUAACAUGAAAGCAUAAAAUAAGAAUCAUACCCGUCACCACAUUGGGUGCAGCGCAUGCCUCCUCGGCUGUCAUCAGAUACGCUCGGCUCCGAACCACUGGAGCCUCUAACUUGGCCUUCCCGCCAUCCACAACCUGUGUUGUCGCUGGAGUCGGCGCCACUGCAGGCGCCGCUGCUGCUGUUGUCAAUAUAGGGCAAUUGGCCUUUUUAUGGCCCUUCUGAUUGCUGAAAGCAAANAAUAUAGGGCAAUUGGCCUUUUUAUGGCCCUUCUGAUUGCAAUGAAAGCAAAUAAGGUCAGAUAUCUGAAUCGCAGGAGUCAGGGCAGUAUAAUCUCUGCCAAAAUGCCCAACCUUGCCACACUUAUAGCAGCCUGAACCUGGCCCAGUGCGACAAGCUCCCUCGUGUGACUGACCGCAUUUCCCACAACGAUCCUGCCCUGACUGGCCUUUCGGCCUACCAUCGGAUCCCCUGGGCUUCUUCCCCGAAGCCCCCAUCGUCAGCCCCUCCGUUGCCUUCCUCUUCCGGAUGUGCUCCAGAUAAAUUUUCCUCUCCCUAGCCCUGGUAAUCAUGGAAUCCAGGGUAGGUCAAGCUGAGAAACUCACAUGGUCUCGGAUGUCAGAUCGUAGCAUGUCAUGGUAGCGGGUCCUCUUCAUGUCCUCAUCACCCGCAAACUGGGGCACCAACAAUGCCCUCUCCCGAAACUUGGUGGUGAUCUCCGCCACAGUCUCUGUAUUCUGUCUCAUGUCCAAGAACUCCCUGGCCAACUGUUGAAUCUCUACAGCUAGCGCAAACUCUGCCCUGAAUCUGGUCACAAAGUCUGACCAGGUCAUAGCCUGAAUAGUCGAGGCUCCCAGAGAGUCGCCAACCGACUCCCACCAAUCUCUGGCCCUGUCUCUCAAACACCCAACAACGAAACGGACCUUCGACCCUUCUAGGCAGAAGCUCGUCAGCUGCGCAGACUCGAUGUCUGCGAUCCAUCUCCUAGCAGCAAUGGGGUCUUUCAUCCCAUGGAAAUCAGACGCACCACUCUCUCUGAAGUCCUUAAAGGACAGUGUGCGUGAUCCUGACUGGCUGACCGCCAUGUCACUCCUGAAUGCCCUGAGGCGAUCCUCCAUCAGCUCAAUGAUCCCUUCCUUGAUCGACCCGAAGAUAAAUGGCGUCGCAUCAAGGAUACCCCUCAUGAUCUCGGACGCGAUGAACUCACGUAACCCAUCAUCCACAUGCCCGGAUCUUGCGCCCGAGCCCGGUCCUGACCCAGAUGCUAAACCUCCUGCUCCAUGUCGCGUGAUCACCAUUCUAAAAAUAAACAUACGAAUGUCAGGGUAACAUAUACUUUUAGAGGUUCCACACACAUUCCAAUAUUCCAGGUUCCGUCUAGGCCCUCCUUGAUUCGAGUAUAGGUCCUCUGCUUUCAGUAGUACGGGCACAUACUACCUUCCACAUCUACCCGUACUUUCCUCAAGGAUUGCUUCGACUUCACCAAGCCCCUUUUACCGUUACCCGUUCCACUAACCUCAUCCUAGGCUUCCCUAGGGCACUCUCCGACCUACCCUCCGCCAUCAGCUGCACUAGGAGUCCCCACCACCUCCUCCUAACUAACUUGCGGAUACUGUUACAUAUCCGUUCCUUAGCUAGUUGAAGAUGGCCAUAACCCCCACAGCACAAAGCAAGCAGCAUUCGUGCAUUGGGUAACCAAACCAGGCAUAAGCUACACAGGCCAUCCUACUGCUGACUAAGCAGUCCUAGCAUACAUCCCAUACAAUAAGCAUAUAAGGCAUCCUCCCUAGACCCUUAGCCCUAACUAGCAUGCAUUUCACAUAAUCAUAUGUCAGGCAUACAAGGCAUCCUCCUAGAUCCUUAGUCCUAUUCUAGCAUGCAGUUUUCUAAAUCAAAACCAAAUAACAUAACAUAGCAAGUAUGGGUAUCUUGGGGAAAACUUACUUGAGCCCGACCGGUCGCAUGCAUCACACACGUCGUCUUUCUUAAAAUCCUUCCCUUUUAGAUUUUAGAAAACCAUUUUUCUUGAAAAAAAUCUUUUAGUCCCUCGGUUUUGAGUCCAGACACCCCCGAGGGUGUGUCCGAAUCCCUCAAACCAGGGCUCUGAUACCAACUUGUAACAUCCCAAAAUUCAAGCCCGAAAAUUUCAUUUUUGGAUUAAUAAUUUUUAAAACAUUUUACCAUAACAUUGUCAGUAAGCAACACAUUACAAAAUCAUAAUGUUGUGUCCCAAACCAUGUCAUCAGAAACAAUGAAAAUCAGAGUACAAUCCCAGAAAGUCCGAUGCGGAAUCAUGUGUGUGUGCGUGAUGCGAUGCUACGCCGCCGGCUCCUUCUCCUUAGACGAAGAGGUACCUGAAACCAAAACUGAAACCGUAAACACAAAGCUUAGUGAGUUCCCUCAUCAUACCACAUACCAUACAAUAUCGUCUUUAUCUUUCAACCGGUAACUUCCAUCGGUAUCUUUCAACCGGUAAUCAUUAUCAUCGAUAUCUUUCAACCGGUAAUCUUCAUCGGUAUCUUUCAACCGAUAACCAUCACCAUCGGUAUCUUUCAACCAGUAACUGUCAUCACUAUCUUCCAACCGGUAACUAGGGACUAUUCCACCCCUACCACUAGCAUACAUCAACAAGAUAUAAAUAUACAGUCAGGCAUAUCCAGGUACUGACCUACCCUUCGGUCCUAAGGAACGCUAUCAGGGAAACUAAUCCCUACUAUACACAUAACAUGUCAUACAGAUAAAUCUCAUUACUAAAGCAAAUAACCAGACUCAGAUAAUUAUCACAAAGACAAUCAUCUUCUAAAUUCUCCUCUUUAGUGGGCCGGCAUUGUGGCCUUAGACCCACCCAUACUGGAAGGUAACUCACCUUGUACGAGUAGCUGCUGAUAUUCUGCACGGGAAACCUCUGUCUGCUGCUGCUCCAGAAAUCCUCUGGCUACAAUCCCCACAAAACACUCAGUCAGAAACUGAUACCUACUCUUAGGGUAAGAUGACUAUUUUACCCCUAACCAAGUCCAAGUCAAAGUCAACCUCCAUUUGAACCGACUCGCCAAGUUGGGCCGUCAACUCGUCGAGUCCCUACCCUUUACUUGUCCUUAUCCAUGACUCUACUCGUCGAGUUUGGCAACGACUCGACGGGUUCCCUUUCUUUACGAACAUCAAUGAACCUUCAUCUGACUUGCCGACUUGUAUGAACAAGUCGUCGAGUUCACCUUCAUCUGAUGAACAAGUCCUGACCUUUACUCGCCGAUUUGUAUGAACAACUCGUCGGGUUCAUCUUCAAACAUAAGAAGAUUGCCUUGGACUCGCUGAGUCUGUUCUAGCACUCGUCGAGUCCUAUGAACUCCAGGUCUCCCAACACGUCUAAACAGUUAUGGGACUCCCUUUUCUAACAACUGGCCAUCACAGAAAGGUUUAAGAUGGCUGAAAGCGCAUCGACUCGCCGAGUCCAACCUUGACCAUUUCUCUACAGUCGAUCUAAAUGGGAUUUAACACACCAAAACUAUAGAUCUGGCCUCCUAAUGUCCAUUUUAUACAUAAAGUUCCAAACUUGAUGCACAUGCAUGGGGUUUUAGCUCAAAAGUCCAUAGAAAGUGCUCUACAAAGUGCAUGGGGCUCUCAUGGCCAUAAAGUUGGCACCUUUAUGCCAUGAGACCCCUCCAAUGACUCAGAUCUGGAAGUAGAACCCCAUGAACCACCUUACAAAUCCAAAAAUGGCUUAAGAAGCCCUAAAUGCAUCAUGAAUCUAAGCCCUAAAGAUGAACAACCAAAAAGGAAGACCAAAACAGGGGCAUUUACCUUGCUCAAGCUGAAAAUGAAGUAAGAUCUCUGAAUCAACAAGCCGCAACUCGAAUUUCUCAGCUUCUUCCUUCCUUCCAAGCUUCACAAACCAACCAAGAGAACCAAAAUGGCCUUAACACAUACACACACACACAAACGGAUAGGUUUUGGAUAUUCAGUUCUAAGGGAGUGUUAGGGAUAAGGGAGGCUGAGUUAAGGUGUUUAUAUAGAUGCAAACCCUUAGAUUUAGGGUUUUACUCGCACUACACCUACUCGUUGAGUCUGUCUCCCGACUCAUCAAGUAGCUCACUUAAGAUGCCUGCGGAUCUCGACUCUACUCGAUGAGUGGGUCCUCUGACUCGUCGAGUCCUAUAGAAAAUCAUAAAAAUGCUUAAAUUAAUUAGUACCAGGAAUCGGGUGCUACAAAUCUCCCCCGCUUAUUUUAGACUUCGUCCUCGAAGUCUGUUGCUCGAUCCUGGAAAAGCUCUGGGUAAUGCUCCAUCAUCUCAUCCACUGGCUCCCAAGUCCACUUCGAGCCCUUCCGAUGUUGCCAUUGCACCUUCACUAGCUCCACCCUCUUAUUUCUCAGAUCCUUCGUCUUCCGGUCGAGGAUCGCUACUGGCCGCUCAAUAUAAUUCAGGCUGUCAUCGACCUGAAUAUCCUCUAAGGGUACCACUACUGAGUCGUCCACCAAACACUUUUGCAGCUGGGAGACGUGGAAGGUGCUAUGGAUCUGGUUGAGUUCGGCUGGCAGAUCCAGCCUAUACGCCACCUUGCCCACUCUGGCUAAGACCCUGAAUGGUCUAAUUUACCUGGGGCCCAACUUGCCUAGUUUCCUAAAUCUGAUGACGUUCUUCCAUGGCGACAUUUUCAGGAGAACCAUAUCCCCGACAUAGAACUCCAGGUCCGAUCGGCACUUAUCGGCAUAACUUUUCUGCCGACUCUGAGCAGUCUGAAGCCUGAUCCGGACUUGCUGAAUCCUCUCUGUCGUCUUGAGCACUACAUCGGUGCUCCCUAUAACCCUCUAGCCAACCUCGCCCCAACAUAUCGGGGUCCUGCCCUUCCUCCCGUACAACCUCUCGAAGGGAGGACGAUUGUAACAACCCGAAAUUUCGUAUCAUUGCUUGUACCCCCUUUUCGUAAUCCAUUUCGAUCAACCAACCGCCGUUUUCAAAUUCGUUUCCGAUUUAUCCAUUUAAUUAAGUCAUUAAAUUGAAAUUAUCUAAAAUGACUUAAUGGGUGUCCUAGUACAUUUAGAACUCAUUAUUAACACCCCAUAUUAGUAAUCGGAACAUUUAUAGAUUCAACCAUACCAAGUUACGGAAACUUAAUCAGGUGCGACCAAAAGCCCCGUCUAACGCCGGUAUCGGGUAGAAUUCCACCAUGUACCGAACUUAGACACUAUUUAAAGUGAUCCAAGCUUCCAUUUGAAGCUUUUGCUUCAUCUCACAACUCUCUCUCUCUAACCUCUCUCCUCAACCAAGUUUAAGGGUCCAAAACCUCAAAUUUAAGGCUUCUAAUCACCAUGGUAUCUUCCCUAACUUGUUAUACAACCCCUCUAGCCUUCAAAUUCGAGUUUAAACCAUGGAUUAGGACCAUUAUCAAGAGUUUAAAGCCCUAGAAUAGUCCUAGGCCGUAAACUCAUAUAAAUGGGGGUUUUUAAGCAACAAAACCCUUCCAAACCACAAUUAGAUUUUAGAUAUGGCUAGAUGACUUAAUGGAAUGGACUUGGAACACCCUAAAAAUGAGAUUUGAGGAUUAACAUUGAGUUUACUGCCCAAGAACUUGCUUGGGCCGUAAACACAUCAUACAUGGGGAGUAAACUCAUUUUCUAGUGUUAAAAAGCCAUGUAAACCCACAAAUAGCCUUGGAAUAAAUCCUAGAACCAACCAAAAUUAGUUUGGGGACCUUAAACAUGAUUAAAUCCUCCCAUUUAGGAGUUUACGGCCAUAGCUUCCUAAGAAAUAGUUUCAGGGCCGUAAACUCAUAAUAUCAUGUUAAAUGGCGCCCUAAAUUCAUACCAAGGCUUGUAAAAAUUGUUGGAAUCACAUGUGAUUAAUUUAAGGCCAUUAAAUCAUCAAUCUAAGGGGGGUAUAGGAGUUUACGGCCGUAAACUCCAUGUUUAGGUCUGUAAACUCCCUUAAAUGGUGUUAUUGGUGAUUUAAUUCCAUCCCAAGCCUUAGAUAAAUUCAUCCCAAUCACCCCUCAAGUGUUAUUGACCAUUAAGCACCAUAAACCUUGCCAACAUGAGUUCACGGCCGUGAAAUCAUGUGUGAGUAGUGUAUAAGGACGUAAUCUCCCUAAGGAGUUUACUCUUGAAGAGUAAACUCAAUUCCCAAGUCCCACGCAUCAAUACACGUCCGUAUAUGUCACCCGGGUCACUCCAAACAUUCGUUUUGAAGUGUUUUCGCUCAUUCGAGUGUAAUAUCAUAUCUAAUUAGUAAUUUAAAAUCUAAUUAGAUAUAUUUGUAUACCAUUUCAUAUUACAUAGGAACUUCGCGUGUUAUCAAGCCUCGAAUCGACACUUAGCGUCCGAACUGACACGUUUUCUCGUCUGGUGAGUUCAUACCCGUACCCUUUUCAAUGGUUUUUAAAUGUUUUCAGGGGGGGGGGGUGGAAUACAAGCAAAAGUACAAGAAUAUCUUGUACUUAAAUUCAUUAUUUUACUUAAAUGGUUUCAUAAUUCCCACACUUUUAAGAAUUGAAAACCUACUAACAAACUGUUUUAACUUGCAGAGUUGUUUGUUUAAACGAUUUCAAUUCUUAUUAUAUACUGUUAUGUUUCACGAUUGAUUGUUCACACUUAUAUUGAUAGAGAUCAUAAAACCUUUGUAAUGUUUGUAAUAAAACACCUUAGGCUCAAGUGUAAAGGACAGACACCAUAGAAAACAUAAAAAAAUUGUAUGGUCCUUAAUAAAACACCGGCUCGAGUGNAGACACCAUUAGAAAACAUAAACAUUUGUAAUGUCCUUAACAAAACACCUAGGCUCGAGUGUAAGGGACAGGCACCAUUAGAACUUAGUCAGCCAUGAUACUACUCCCCCUAGGCACGAGAGUAAAGAGUAAUCUUAAAGAUUGGAGACACGUCCUCGGUGAACACUCCACAGAGAUACGCAAGUGGAGGAUCGCACCUGUAACCAGAAUCUCAUAGAUAGGGAGCGUGACUUGAGUGUAUAGAUCUAUACGGGACUGACAAUCCCGCACCUGGAUGCUAGCUACAGCCGAACCGAAAGGUUCAAGGGUGAUGAAAGUCAUAAAAAGGAUACUGGCCCCGACCCGAGUCAUAUCUGGUCUGAAGUAUGGUUAAGGAACUCGCAAUCAUGAUUAUGAACACUUCACACUUAAUUAUUAGUUUUAUGUACGUAAUAAAACUAAUGUACAUUUAAGGAUAAUCAAACUUUCAGGAGAAUUCACACACACUUAUUCAGGAAAAUAUGGGAUUUUCCUGGGGAUAGUACUGAACAUAAUCAGAAUUGGUAACUGUUCACACACACACAUGUAGGAAAAUAUAGGAUUUUUCCUGGAUAACAGUAAUACGUAACCAGAAACGUGUAACAAUUUAGAUAUCAAACUUUACAAUUCACAAGAACAAUUAUGUUUUCAGUGUACAUCUUUUACUUUACAUUUUGGAUUUGGUAACCAACUUUUAAGAAAAUAUGGGAUUUUCUUGGAUAACCACUUUUUCAGGAAACCAAAGGAACUCGUAUAUUUUCAGAAAAACUAACCGCUUAUGAACUCACCAGCUUUAUGCUGAUUUUCAAACCACUUGUAUUCUCAGGUCCGCAUUAGACAUGUACCCGAUAAUUUCUUUUUGCGAAGACGGAGUGCGCAGAAGACUCGUCUCAUUUUGUUCAUAUAUACUAUGUAUCACAUGUAUAAAUUUACUUUUGAAACAAAUGUAAACUUUUCUAUAUGUAAUGUAAUGGUUGUUUUACUUUACUUACUAUGUUCAUUGGAUUUGAUACUCAACGUGGAGUCAACCCCGAAAAUGUUUCUGUAACGCCCGUGUUUCUAGGCUAGGCAUUAAUAUUGACAUAAUGGUCUAGGUUAACCUUUGUAACUCAUUUAGAAGAAAUGAAAAGGAAUUAUGUGAAUUUUAUGUGAAUUAUGAGUUUUAUGCUUAAUUAUUAGGGUUUAAUUAAUUAAAAAUAAAAAUAAGCGUCAAAAUUAAAGUAUGAUAUAAGCCCGAUAUCUUUACAUAAAGUUGUAGUGAUCGAAAUAAGGAUUUCAGGGAUAUAAAUAAUGCCGAAAUCCGAGUUAUAACGAAGAAUUUAUGACCUGUCGAAGUUUCGCAACAAAACUGGCACGGUGCCGAGUGUCGUAAAAAAUGAGCUUUUGAUAAACUACUUUUUAGCCUUAUUAAUCUAAACGAAAGUCGUAGUAUUCGUUAAAACGAGAACUUAGAUAAAAAGAACGCCCAAAUCUAAGUUCGUAUGAGGAAGUUAUGAUUUUUCGAAGUUUCAGCUUAGCAGUAGACAACUAAAAACUCGAAUUUUAGAUCGAGCGAUUUUUAGCCGACACAACCUAAACGAGAAUUGAAGGUCUCGUCAUUAGGAGCACAACAGUAAAAAGUCUGACGAAAACGGACGUCGGAUGAAGAAGUUAUGAAUUUUUAACGGAUUUCCUGUCCCGGUCUGUUAAAAAUAAUAAUAUAAAAUUUAAAGUUAAAAUUAGCCGUCGAAGUCUAAACUGAAGAUGUAGAUCGUAAUUUUAGCUACGUGUGCAUAUAAAGAACAUCAAAAACGGAGCUCGUAUGCGAAAGUUAUGGAUUAUAGAAGUUUUGGCGCUAAAAUCGAGAAAUUUCGCAUAGUCACACUUUGCCACGUCACCCUCGCUUAGAAUGUGACACGUGUCCUGCUGAGUCACCAGACUACUGAGUCACCGAAACUGCUGAGUCAUGCGAAGCCACGUGUCCUCUUUUGAUUCGACCGAGGAAGAGGCCCAAUCCGAAGCAGCCAGCUCCCCAGCCGAAGCUUCGCCCUGUUGCCGCGUGUUCCGAGCCUCGCAUAACCUAGCUCCGAGCCUCGCGCGUGUAAGACGACUCCACGGUCCAAUCAGCGAGUGCCACCGAGACCCUCGCACCUGCUGACCACCUGCGCAUCGGACACAUGCCUCGGACCAAUCACAGACUGCCAGCGAGUCUUCGCACGCACAGCCCUCGUGCGAGCCUUCGCCUGCGAGCCCUCGGAUCUGCGACGUGUACUUCCUUCUCAGCCGUCCGAUCAGAAGCCCUUCCCUAUAAAUAGAAGGGUGCGAGACCUCUCGGGGGUAUUUUGAAAACUUGUCAUUUUUAGCCCCUUUCUCCAUAUUUCUUUCAUAUUAUCACCCCUCGAAGCCCCAGUAUCGAUUAUAAGCCCCGGAAUACGCCACGAAGUGCUCGAGAAGCCCGGAAAAUUUAUCUUUUCGGUUUCGAAACCCGACUUUUGCGGAGCCCGGUUUCUCAAUAAAACUCCCGGUUUUAUUAGAAACGAUCGUUUUAGGAAACGAAUUGCUGCCCAAUUUUCACCAAAAUAUGUGAGUGUGUAGUUACUUUCAAUUUACACAUAGAUAUGAAGUAUUUACCUUGAAAUACGUGUUAUGUGUAAAUAUACUAAUUGUUUAAUUGAGGUGACUGUUGAAUUGAUGUUUUAUACAAGUUUUAAACUGUAUAUGUUUUUAUCUACAAAAUGUGUUGGGUAGAACAUGGGUAGAUAUAAUAGUUGCUGUGUGAUAAUAUGAAAUAAUGAGAGGCCUCGUUAUAGAUGAUAUUGAUGAUCUAGUCCUCUAGCGGAGUAUAGAUGACGACCACAGACUUUCUAGAUAGUCCAGUGGAACACUAGCAGGCUCGCAACCUGUAGGUGUUUAUUCGAACUUUGUGUUUAUUUGAACUGUGUGCUCACCAGGUGUACUCCACCCCCCACAUGGUUGCCUUUAGGACAUUUAUUGACGAGGAAUCCCCUUAGCAGUAGUGUCCAUCCCGAUGAUAAUCCUUAGGCUAGGUUCCUUGUGAUAGGUGUUUAGGGACACGAAGUGAGGACAACGGGAAUGGGUAAUCAGGGUUAUUGUUGAUUGGUGAACUUAGUAAGUAUAUUAUUAUUAUGGGUUGAAAACCCUAUAUGCUCACCAGGCUCCGAAGCCUGACCCACUCAGUUUUAUGAUUACAUGUAGUGGACCCCGAGCAUAGUCAGAGGACGACAAGAGAUUUUUGGAUUAUAGGCCAGUAGUUGUAAAUAACUGUUGAAAGGCUUAUAAUGUCUUGUUUAUGCUUUUGAUCUGUAUCGAAACAUGACAUCCCAAGGUUUUGAUAUAUAUGGAAAAUAUAUACCUUCUUAAUGACGGAUUUUGAUAAAAUUUUAUCAUAUGUUGUUUGGGGACCAAUUCCGCAACAUCUUUUAAAAAGAUUUCUCUGAUUUUAUUUUAAAAAGCAUAAAUUAAAUCGGUCUUUUCUGGCCGAGAAAUAUGGGGAUGUCACAGUUGGUAUCAGAGCAUUAGUUUAAGCGAACUAAGAAAUUGUAGAAUUUCUAGACUUGAACUUAGAAUGCUAAGUGAUGAUUGUGAGAUGAGUGUCUACCAUAUGUUAGACACGAGCACUAGUUUAUUUUAGGGAAGAUGCCUAAAAUGCCCUUAUGUGCUAAAUGCUAUGUGUUUGCCAUGUGUGCCAUUAUUUGUUCGGAUCUAUGGUCUGUUGCCGACCGGAUCUGGAAACCUUAUGUGUGUAGGAUUCUAAGUGUAUGAAAACGAGAUUAGAACUAACAUGUAAACGUUUCGGAGUGAUAAGGGAAUUGACAUGUCUAACAAGGAUAAAGACCUAAAUUUCGCCUUAUUCGGUAUAUAGAUUGUAAUGGCAAGAACUCGGAGUGGAGCUGGAAAUGCAAACAGAAACCAACAACCUCAACCUCCAGUGGUGGAACAGGUGCCUAUAGUAGGAGCUGCACCCGAACCCAUCACCAUGGCUGGAGUACGAACUAUGAUUCAGACCAUGUUGGCUGNAAGUCUAUUGAGGAAAUGAUCAAUGACACAACCGCCAACAAAGUUGAAGUUGGCAAGAAGAGGAAAUUUGAGGGGUCUUCAAGGCCCAACAAGAGCAACAUAUCCUCAAAGUUUGGCAAAAGAAGAGAUAAAGGAAAAUGGUGCGGGAGGUGCAAAAAUAAACACUCUGGGAAUUGUGACGGGAAGGUGAAGUGCUUUAAAUGUGGAGAAAUAGGGCAUUAUGCCAAUAAGUGUACGAUUCCCAAGGAGGUGUGCUACGGAUGUAAAGAAGAAGGCCAUAUUUCUAAGAAUUGUCAGAAGAACAAUGAAGUAACAAGGCCAAGUGCACCAUCAAUGCCAAAGGAAUUUCAGGAUAUCCUUGAAGAAGCGAUUAAUAACACUAGGAAGUAGAAGUCAAGACUUGAUACCCGAAGAUCAAGUUACGAAGUAGUAAUGUGAAUAGUAACAAGUAGUUUAGCCUAUGAGAGGCAUAGUAUAGGGUAAACUUGAACCUUUGUGUAAUCGUUUCAAGGAAAUAAAAUAAACCCUGGUUUUGUCGUCUGAUGAAUAGAAUGGCUGGUGUAAUUUUUGAAGUUGUCCCAAUCAUCUGAAAUUUCCAUCACCAACCAAGUUGAAGUAGAGUUGAUCAUUGAAGAUACGCGUGAAAGAAGUCCUAGUAGAGUCUAGGAAAAUUUUAUGAUUAAUUGGACACAUUUGUAUGUGUUAAAUUGUUUUGUGAUUUUAGGACUUGGGGACUGCGAGACAGUACUUGGGACGAGUAUGAGUAGGUGUGAAUAGUAGUAGAGAUCUAUACUACUGGAAGCACAGGACUCGCACUUGGAUCAGGGAAAGUCACAAGGUUACCAAGAAGCUAUUAUUUGAUUCCGUCUUGUUCUAGUCUGUCGUUACCAUCGUUUCGGUAAUGACUAAGAAGAUGAUUGUUAUUCUGACCUUAGAGGUCAUAUCAAAUUGAGUCCGACUACGAUGAGUUUAUUAUGUUGUUCAGAGAACCAAGUUCGAUGUAACAUUUGACUUAAGCCAGAAGAUUGAAAUGAAAGAUGAUCAAAGCGAUCAAUAGAAGUAUCGCACUCAUUGUUAAAGAAGUUGGUAGUUAGAAAUGAUACAUGUUGAACGGUGACUGUAUCACAUUAGAACAUGAAGGAAGGUAUAAGUUGUUCUGAAAUUUGUCCCUAGGAGAUCUGAGUCUAAGUAGUGCAGUAUACAAUGAGAGAUCAUUAGAACAUGACCCAUCGGUCUGUUACAAUAAAUGAAGGAAAAUACUUAUUCCAAGAAGAAGGAGGAGUCCUCAAUAAGGAUUUAUUUUGUAACUCGAAGGUUACAAUUGAAAGUCCUAUGGAGAUCUGAAGCUUUUUAGGAUUAGCUGGAUAUUAUUACUGAAUUAUCCAAGGCUUUUCUUCGAUCGCGACUCCAUUGACAGCUUUGACCCACAAAGGAGCUGUCUAUACUUGGAAUGAGAAGCAUAGGAAGCUUUGAGAAGUCAAAGAAGAAGUUGUGUGAAGCACCAAUUCUUUCGUUACCCAAAGGAUUUGAUGACUUCACAAUUUAUAGUGAUGCCUCUGGUGUUGGGUUAGUAUGUGUUCUGACCCAAAUGGAUAAGGUGAUAGCGUAUGCAUCGAGACAAUUGAAAGAGCAUGAAAAGAAAUAUCCCACUCACAAUUUGGAGUUGGCAGCGGUAGUAUUCGCCCUAAAGAUAUGUUGGCAGCGGUAGUAUUCGCCCUAAAGAUAUGGAGGCAUUAUCUUUAUGGCACCAAGUGUAAACUUUUCACUGAUCAUAAGAGUCUCCAAUAUCUCUUUAAUCAGAAGGAAUUGAACAUGAGGCAACGACGCUGGCUAGAGUUACUCAAGGACUACGACUGUGAGAUACUUUACCACCCUGGUAAAGCAAAUAUGGUUGCUGAUGCUCUCAGUCGGAAGGUAAACCUUGAAAAGAAAAGGCCAAGAGCAUUGAGAAUUGAAGUUGUCUCGAUAAUUGUGGAAAGUAUAAAGAAAGCUCAAGAGGAAGCUUUAGAGAAAAGUGACCGAAAGGAAGAACGUUUGGGCAAAACGUUAGUGUUCGGUACAAACAACCAAGGGUUGAAGGUAUUUCAAGAUAGAAUUUGGGUACCUAAGACGGGCGGAAUAAGAGAUCUUCUGAUGGAAGAAGCUCACAAGACCAUGUACUCAAUUCAUCCCGGCAGUACGAAAAUGUAUAGGGAUCUAAAACCCUAUUAUUGGUGGCCGACGAUGAAGCUCGAUGUUGCUAAGUAUGUGGCUGAGUGUGUAACUUGUGCUAGGGUUAAGGCACAACAUCAGAAACCGUAUGGGAGUUUAGAACCUUUACCCGUACCCAUGGGUAAAUGGGAAGACAUCACCAUGGAUUUUAUGACUAAACUGCCCAGAACAAGGAACGGUCACGACAUGAUUUGGGUGGUCGUUGAUCGCUUCACUAAGAGUGCGCAUUUCAUAGCGGCCAAAGAGAAAUGGUCUAUGGAUAAACUUGCGAAUUCUUACGUGAAGGAAAUUGUGAGGCUUCACGGUGUUCCGUUAACGAUUGUGUCCGAUCGUGAUAGCCGUUUUACCUCAAGGUUUUGGAGGAGUCUAUAAGAGGAAUUGGGUACCAAGUUGUGUUUGAAUACAGCUUACCAUCUGCAAACCGAUGGUCAGAGCGAAUGGACGAUUCAAACGUUGGAGGAUAUGCUGAGAGCAUGUACCCUAGAAUUUCAAGGUAACUGGGAUGAACACUUACCUUUAGUAGAAUUCACCUAUAAUAAUAGUUUCCACUCAAGUGUCAAGAUGGUACCUUAUCACGCUUUGCAUGGGAAAAAGUGUCGGAUGCCAUCAUGUUGGCUGGAAGCCGAGGAAAAGCAGUUUAUGGGACUUGAAAUAGUCCAUUAGAUUGCUGAAAAGUUGGAAGUGAUUAGGGAAAAAGGUGUUAGCUGCUCAAAAGAGCUAUGCUGACAAGAAAAGACAACCGAUAUCAUUCGAAGUUGGAGAUUCGGUUUCCCUUAAAGUCUCGUCGUGGAAGGGACUUAUAAGAUUUGGUAGAAGGGGAAAGUUGAGUCCAAGGUUUAUUGGACCAUUUAAAGUUCUUCAGAGAAUCCGGAAUCAAGCUUACAAGCUAGAAUUACCGGAAGAACUAGAGAGUAUUCAUAACACCUUUCAUGUGUGUUAUUUGAAAAAGUUCACGGGAGGUGUGCCCGACAUAAUUCCCAUUUCUAAAUUAAGGUUGGACGAGAACAAGAGGUUAAUUGGAGAACCUGAGGCAAUCGUUAACCGUAAGACUAAGAAGUUGUAACAUAAGAUAGUCGAUUUAGUGCCUGUACGUUGGAAACUUAUAAAUGCGCCAAAUCCCACCUGGGAAACGGAGAGUGACAUAGUGAGUCGCUACCCGUAGUUGUUUGUCGUUGUGUGAUUCCGGGGACGGAAUCAUCCUAAGGAGGAGAGAGUUGUAACGCCCGUGUUUCUAGGCUAGGCAUUAAUAUUGACAUAAUGGUCUAGGUUAACCUCUGUAACUCAUUUAGAAGAAAUGAAAAGGAAUUAUGUGAAUUUUAUGUGAAUUAUGAGUUUUAUGCUUCAUUAUUAGGGUUUAAUUAAUUAAAAAUAAAAACAAGCGUCAAAAUUAAAGUAUGAUAUAAGCCCGAUAUCUUUACAUAAAGUUGUAAUGAUCGAAAUAAGGAUUUCAGGGAUAUAAAUAAUGCCGAAAUCCGAGUUAUAACGAAGAAUUUAUGACCUGUCGAAGUUUCGCAACAAAACCGGCACGGUGUCGAGUGUCGUAAAAAGUGAGUUUUUGACAAACUACUUUUUAGACUUAGUAAACUAAACGAAAGUCGUAGUAUUCGUUAAACCGAGAAGUUCGAUAAAAAGAACGCCCAAAUCUGACUUCGUAUGAGGAAGUUAUGAUUUUUCGAAGUUUCAGCUUAGCAGUAGACAACUAAAAACUCGAAUUUUAGAUCGAGCGAUUUUUAGCCGUCACAACCUAAACGAGAAUUAAAGGUCUCGUCAUUAGGAGCACAAGGGUAAAAAGUCUGACGAAAACGGACGUCGAAUGAAGAAGUUAUGAAUUUUUAACGGAUUUCCUGUCCCGGUUUGUUAAAAAUAAUAAUAUAAAAUUUAAAGUCAAAACUAGCCGACGAAGUCUAAACGGAAGUUGUAGAUCGUAAUUUUAGCUACGCGUGCAUAUAAAGAACGUCAAAAACGGUACUUGUAUGCGAAAGUUAUGGAUUUUAGAAGUUUUGGCGCGAAAAUCGAGAAAAUUUGCAUAGUCACACUUUGCCACGUCACCCUCGCUUAGAAUGUGACACGUAUCUUGCUGAGUCACCAGGCUGCUGAGUCACCGAAACUGCUGAGUCAUGCGAAGCCACGUGUCCUCUUCUGAUUCGACCGAGGAGGAGGCCCAAUCCGAAGCAGCCAGCUCCCCAGCCGAAGCUUCGCCCAGCUGCCGCGUGUGUCCGAGCCUCGCAUAGCCUAGCUCCGAGUCUCGCAGGUGCGCCAGCAAGCCGCGGUCCACUUAGAAGCCGCCAGCGAGCCCUCGCAUGUGCGAGCCAGGUGCGAGCCAUGCGAGCCAUGUGCGAAGCCACCCCCUGCGAGCCGUCGGAUCUCCGAAGCGUGCCAUCUUCUCAGCCGUUGGAUCAAACUUCGGACCCUAUAAAUAGAAGGGUACCUGCGAGGGUUUCCGGUUACUUUUGGAAUUUUGCCACUUUUAGCCCCUUUCUCCAUAUUUUCUUCAUCUUAACAUCCCGCAAAGCCCCGGUAUCGAUUGUAAAGCCCGGAAUACCCCACGAAGUGCCCGAGAAGCCCGGAAAAUUUAUCUUUUCGGUUUCAAAGCCCGACCUUUCGCAGAGCCCGGUUUCUCAAUAAAACUCCCGGUUUUAUUAGAAACGAUCGUUUUAGGAAACGAAUUGCUGCCCGGUUUUCAUUAAAUCAAGUGAGUGUGUAGUUACUUUCACCUUACACAUAGAUAUGAAGUAUUUUACAUAAAAUACGUGUUGUGUGAAUAUAUAUUGUUUGUUUAUUUGAGAUGGGUGCUGAAGGAAUGAUUUAUACAUGUUUUUAAAUAAUUUAAACUAUAUAUGUAUUUUUAUCUACGAAAAAUGUUGGGUAAAACAUGGGUAGAUGAAAUAGUGGGUAUGAUGAAAGGUGAGUUGGAUAAAGGAGAUGAUCAAUAAUAUUGAUCAUGAGUUGAGGGUGAGUGGUGAAAAUUUGAGAGAAUCACUUACCCAAAUUGUUGGCCCCCGUCAUUCAGCAGAGUAUGGAUGACAACCAUGGACUAUUCUAGACAGUCUAUGGAACACUAGCAGGCCCGCAACCUGUAGGUGUAAUGAACUAUAUGUUCAUUUGUUGUACUCUAAAACCCAUUGACAUGUAUUGCAGGAGAGAACACCUGUAAAUAAUACUGUCGAUAAAUGAGAGCUAUGGACUUAGCACAUGUUGAAUAAACUUUGGCAGCUAUGGAAUUAGUGCCCGUUGUAUAAACCCUGGUCACGAGGUGACUUUGUGUCUAUUCCUUAGGAUGAAUCCUUAGGAAGGAGUGAUAGUUGAUUCUUAGGGUAAACCCUUAAGAAAUAAAUAAAAUAAUGGGGUUUGGGGUAAUUCGGUUGAUUGAUUGAUGUUUAAACACAAUAAAUUUAUGUAUUGUGGGUUGAAAACCCUAUAUGCUCACUAGGCUUCGAAGCCUGACCCACUCAGCUGUUUAUAUUACAGGUAGAGGACCCCGAGCAUAGUUGGAUGAUGAUGAUGAGUGAAUUUUGGAUUAUAGGCCAGUAGUUACAAAUAACUGUCAUAAGGCGUAUAAUGUCUUGUUUAUGCUUUUGAUCUGUAUCAGAACAUGACAUCCCGAGGUUUUGAUAUAAAAGGAAAUGAUAUAUUUCUUAAAGAAAGGUUUUGACAAACUUUUAUCAUAUUUUGUUUUGGGGACCAAUUCCGCAACAUCUUUUAUAAAGAUUUCUCUGAUUUGAUUUUAAAAAGCAUAAAUUAAAUCGGUCUUUUCUGGCCGAGAAAUUAGGGGAUGUCACAGUUUCCACGUUCGGUUUUCGGGGUGUGACAGAUUGGUAUCAGAGCCCUUGUUUAUAGUGAAUAAAGUAUACCAAACCUUACAUGGUAUAAAACUAUAAACAUUAAGGGGCCUAAGUGCUCUAAACUAAAAGUAUCCUUCAAAAUAAAAGUAAUUUUCAAAAGUCUAUAAGUAUACCGAACCGUUGAGAUCCGUAACUACAAGUAGAACAAAACAUAAGUAAAUGGGUGUUGUACGCUGCGGUUAAACCUGGGCAGUUAUGUAGUCGUGUCUAGGAUCAAUAUAGCCUGACCAACUAUAUUCAUUCGAGACACGGCCAACAUGUGCUUGGGAGUGACUGUGGUAUGCGACAUGCCUUAAACUUACCCUAAUACCACAAACAUCGAGCCAGUGUCGUAGCGAAUCAUGAAAUACUAUGGGAGUAUUUCUCGAGCUAAUCAUUGGUAUAAAUUCUCGUUCAUGCAUUGUUCUUUGAUCAUUCCCUUAGCGAUAAUUUUCCUGCUUUAUCGUUUGUUAGCAUAUAUCUGUCAUAUCUCUUGAUUCAUUCCAGAGGACUUAUCAUCCUCUCUUUCUUGAUCUUAUUAGAUCAAGAUGCCUCCAAGAAAGAGACCCAACUAAAGACCAACANNNNNNNNNNNNNNNNNNNNNNNNNNNNNNNNNNNNNNNNNNNNNNNNNNNNNNNNNNNNNNNNNNNNNNNNNNGCUGCCAUGUCUCAACGGAACUCUGGCGGUUCUGGUGGUUCGGGACGUGGUACCCAAGCCCAAAGCCAAGAAAGCAGUCAGGGAUACCGAAAAGAGGGUUCCUAUAAGGAUUUCAUGAACGCAAAACCCAUGUCCUUUAAUGGAACUGGAGGUGUCAUUUCCCUCACCCGAUGGUUCGAGAAGAUCGAAUCCAUCUUUGAAAUUUGCGCCUGCUCAGGAUCUGACAAGGUGAAGUUUGCCGCCUGCUCCUUUAUCGACAAAGCCCUGACCUGGUGGAACGGCCGAGUCAAAUCCCUAACCUUACCUGUAGCCAACGCCAUGGGUUGGGAAGCCAUGAAGGAACUUCUGCUGGCUGAGUACUGCCCUCGGGGCGAAAUGUAGAAGUUAGAACACGAACUCUGGAACCUGAAGAUGUAGGGUUCCGAUAUCACUGCUUACACUUCCAGGUUCGAUGACUUGGCAUUACUCUGCCUGCGAAUGGUUACCCCGGAGAGUAAGAAGAUAGAGAAAUUCAUCUGGGGGCUGACCCAACCAUCAAAAGGAAACGUCAUAGCUGCGAGGCCAGAUACAUACGACAGUGCCAAAUGCUUAGCACAAAUCUUAAUAGAUCAUAGUGAUGACCCUGAGGAGACAACUACCACUCCUGAGCCGACAGAGAGGAGUGGUGAGAAAAGAAAGAUUGGGAAGAAGGAGAAAAGUCAGACAUCGCAAGAGUCUUUGAAGAGGCAGCAAACGGUGGCAGUUCAUGCUGCCACUUCCCCUGCCACCGUUUCUGUUGUUGGAUCUUCAGCUCGAAAACCUGCCAGUAGGUAUGCUGGAACCCUUCCUAGUUGUGACAAGUGCAACUAUCAUCACCUUCCUUCCAGUCCAUGUAUAGAGGUGUUUUGCAACAGUUGUGGCAUAAAGGGUCACAUGGCGAAAAACUGUAAGACACCAACCCAAUCAACCAGUCAAGCUUCCGGAGCGAGCAUUGGUCGGGCCUGCUAUAGUUGUGGAAAAGUCGGGCAUUACAAGCGAAACUGCCCCAAGACAGUAACAUCUGGCAACACCGAAAGAGUUCUAGCGAUAGGACAAGAGGAGACAGCCACCGAUCACACCGUUGCCACAGGUAUAUUUCCCCUCGUUAAAUUUUAUGUCUGUGAUUCUUUUCGAUUCUAGCACCAAAAGAAAUUCGCUAACCAUCCAUUCAAAUAUCUUUCUAAACCUUGUCCUUCAUUAGUAAUCGAAAACGUGUACCAUCGAGAUGGUUAUCAAGUGAGAAUGAGAACGCUAACAUCAUAUCCGUAGAUUGUAUCCUCAAUCCGAACAAUUAUUCUUUUCCGUUCGAUCUAAUGGCGAACUUCUCAUGAAAUGCUUUGAUGUCAUCUUUAGCAUGUAAUGACCGAGCCUCAUUCAUGAUGUUAUUCCUGGUUUCGAGAAGGCUAUUCGUCUUAACCUACCUCUGACCCGACUCUCAUGAUCUUCGUACAUCAAAGUUUAAAAAGUUUUCCCAUGUAUUCCUUGUCCGCGUGAUCAUCGAGAAUCGAGAANUCUUUCCCCGAUGUCUUUUCCGAAGAAUUCUUGAGAAUUCUUUCCGAACGUGUAGUCAAGUCUCGCAUCGACCUAAUCCCUGGAAUUACCACGUAGCCAAAACCUCAGAGAGGACGAUGUAUCCAAGGCAGCAACCAAGGCUUGAUAUGAUCACUACGAGAUAGUAGUGUUGCCCUUCGGUCAAACCAUUUUCUUGGUUAUGUAGAUAAGCAAAGCAGUCAUACUCAUGGACCUUUCCAAAAGCUAAGGAAAUAAAGAAUUAUUCGGCACCGGAGGUACCCAUAGAAACCCGUCAACUCUUGGGUCCCGCCGACUAUUAUUGCAAACCCGUCUAGAAAUUUCCUUUAGAACCAUCGGACCCUUAGUUACUCUGCCACGUGAAAAUGUACCCACUUGUUGUAAGUCUUACUCUGGAAAGACAUAGUACGCCUUGGGAAGUAUGGAAAACUUAACACGUAGAACAUUAGACCCUUCGAGAUCCUCAUUAGAAAUCGAUUCCGUAGCCCUCUCCGAGCUAUCUUCAGAACUCAGCAGCAACCAUCUGGUAUUCCACAUCUUUGCUCGUAAGGAGUGUCGACCUGACGAAACCAUAGAAAUCCCUUGACGAGAUCGAAACCAAUGGAAGUCCGAACCUUCAUGGAUGAAUCAAUUGGAAUCAUCGAUUGAUAGGUUGACCGUACGAAACAAAGCUGCAUCCCAACAGUGAGGGUUCGCUGGAAUGUCAAGCGGAGACCCGAUUCCACUUAGGAGCAUGAAGAACCGAAGCAGUAGAUUCAUCCUCAUAUCUCUUUUCACUUCGCGAUCUGUGUUCAAAUCUUUGAAUUUCGGGACGAAAUUCCCUCUAACGGGGGGAUAAUGUAACAACCCGAAAUUUCGUAUCAUUGCUUGUACCCCCUUUUCGUAAUCCAUUUCGAUCAACCAACCGUCGUUUUCAAAUUCGUUUCCGAUUUAGCCAUUUAAUUAAGUCAUUAAAUUAAAAUUAUCUAAAAUGACUUAAUGGGCGUCCUAAUACAUUUAGAACUCAUUAUUAACACCUCGUAUUAGUAAUCAGAACAUUUAUAGAAUCAACCAUACCAAGUUACGAAAACUUAAUCGGGUGCGACCAAAAGCCCCGUCUAACGCCGGUAUCGGGUAGAAUUUCACCGUGUCCCGAACUUAGACACUAUUUAAAGUGAUCCAAGCUUCCAUUUAAAUCUUUUGCUUCAUCUCAUAACUCUCUCUCUAACCUCUCUCCUCAACCAAGUUUAAGGGUCCAAAACCUCAAAUUUAAGGCUUCUAAUCACCAAGGUAUCUUCCCUAACUUGUUAUACAACCCCUCUAGCCUUCAAAUUCGAGUUUAAACCAUGGAUUACGACCAUUAUCAUGAGUUUACGCCCAAGAAUAGUCCUAGGCCGUAAACUCAUAUAAAUGGGGUUUUUGAGCAACAAAACCCUUCCAAACCACAAUUAGACUUUAGAUAUGGCUAGAUGACUUAAUGGAAUGGACUUGGAACACACUAAACAUGAGAUUUGAGGAUUAACAUUGAGUUUACUGCCCAAGAACUUGCUUGGGCCGUAAACACUUCAUACAUGGGGAGUAAACUCAUUUUCUAGUGUUAAAAAGCCAUGUAAACCCACCAAUAGCCUUUGAAUAAAUCCUAGAACCAACCAAAAUUAGUUUGGGGACCUUAAACAUGAUUAAAUCCUCCCAUUUAGGAGUUUACGUCCAUAGCUUCCCAAGAAAUAGUUCCAGGGCCGUAAACUCAUAAUAUCAUGUUAAAUGGCGCCCUAAAUUCAUACCAAGGCUUGCAAAAAUUGUUGGAAUCACAUGUGAUUAAUUUAAGGCCAUUAAAUCAUCAAUCUAAGGGGGUAUAGGAGUUUACGGCCGUAAAAUCCAUGUUUAGGGCCGUAAACUCCCUUAAAUGGUGUUAUUGGUGAUUUAAUUCCAUCCCAAGCCUUAGAUAAAUUCAUCCCAAUCACCCCUCAAGUGUUAUUGACCAUUAAGCACCAUAAACCUUGCCAACAUGAGUUCACGGCCGUGAAAUCAUGUGUGAGUAGUGUAUAAGGCUGAAAUCUCCCUAAGGAGUUUAAUCUUGAAGAGUAAACUCAAUUCCCAAGUCCCACGCAUCAAUACACGUUCGUAUAUGUCACCCGGGUCACUCCAAACAUUCGUUUUGAAGUGUUUUCGCUCAUUGGAGUGUAAUAUCAUAUCUAAUUAGUAAUUUAAAAUCUAAUUAUAUAUAUUUGUAUACCAUUUCAUAUUUCAUAGGAACCCUGCGUGUUAUCAAGCCUCGAAUCGACACUUAGCGUCCGAACCGACACGUUUUCUCGUUUGGUGAGUUCAUACCCCUACCCUUUUCAAUGGUUUUUAAAUGUUUUCAUGGGGGGGGGAUACCAGCAAAAGUACAAGAAUAUCUUGUACUUAAAUUCAUUAUUUUACUUAAAUGGUUUCAUAAUUCGCACACUUUUAAGAAUUGAAAACCUACUAACAAACUGUUUUAACUUGCAGAGUUGUUUGUUUAAACGAUUUCAAUUCUUAUUAUAUAUUGUUAUGUUUCACAAUUGAUUGUUCACACUUAUAUUGAUAGAGAUCAUAAAACCUUUGUAAUUUCUUUAAUAAAACACCUUAGCCUCGAGUGUAAAGGACAGACACCAUAGAAAACAUAAAACAUUUGUAUGGUCCUUAAUAAAACACCUAGGCUCGAGUGUAAAGGACAGACACCAUUAGAAAACAUAAACAUUUGUAAUGUCCUUAACAAAACACCUAGGCUCGAGUGUAAGGGACAGGCACCAUUAGAACUUAGUCAGCCAUAGAUACUACUCCCCCUAGGCACGAGAGUAAAGAGUAAGCUUAAAGAUUGGAGACACGUCCUCGGUGAACACUCCAUAGAGAUACGCGAGUGGAGGAUCGCACCUGUAACCAGAAUCUCUUAGAUAGGGAGCGUGACUUGAGUGUAUAGAUCUAUACGGGACCGACAAUCCCACACCUGGAUGCUAGCUACAGCCAAACCGAAAGGUUCAAGGGUGACGAAAGUCAUAAAAAGGAUACUGGCCCCGACCCGAGUCAUAUCUGGUCUGAAGUAUGGUUACGGAACUCGCAAUCAAGAUUAUGAACACUUCACACUUAAAUAUUAGUUUUAUGUACGUAAUAUAACUAAUGUACAUUUAAGGAUAAUCAAACUUUCAGGAGAAUUCACACACACACAUUCAGGAAAAUAUGGUAUUUUCCUGGGGAUAAUACUGAACAUAAUCAGAAUUGGUAACAGUUCACACACACAUGUAGGAAAAUAUAGGAUUUUUCCUGGGUAACAGUAAUACGUAACCAGAAANAAUCGGUAGCAGUUCACACACAGGCACAUGUAGGAAAAUAUAGGAUUUUCCUGGGUAACAGUAGUACGUAACCAGAAAAGUGUAAUAAGUUAGAUAACUAAACUUAACGAUUCACAAGAACAAUCAUGUUUUCAUUGUACAUCGUUUACAUUACAUUAUGGAUGGUAACCAUCUUUUAAGAAAAUAUGGGAUUUUCUUGGAUAACCAGCUUUAUGCUGAUCUUCAAACCGCUUGUAUUCUCAGGUUCGCAUUAGACAGGUACCCGACUAUUUCUUUUGGAGAAGACGAAGUGCGUAGAAGACUCGUCUCAUUUUAUUCAUAUAUAC